UACGUAGGGGGCAAGCGUUGUCCGGAAUCAUUGGGCGUAAAGAGCGUGUAGGCGGCUCGAUAAGUCUGCUGUGAAAGUCCAGGGCUCAACCCUGGAAGGCCGGUGGAAACUGUCGGGCUAGAGUCCGGAAGAGGCGAGUGGAAUUCCCGGUGUAGCGGUGAAAUGCGCAGAUAUCGGGAGGAACACCAGUGGCGAAGGCGAGUCUCUGGGCUGUAUCUGACGCUGAUGCGCGAAAGCUAGGGGAGCAAACGGG
Molecule: ribosomal RNA, 253 nt
Filed under: uncultured bacterium
Lineage: Bacteria
Description: partial 16S ribosomal RNA
Rfam family: Bacterial small subunit ribosomal RNA
Source: RNAcentral